This 2508-nucleotide long non-coding RNA is filed under the name Mytilus galloprovincialis (Mediterranean mussel). The record is from RNAcentral. Lineage: Eukaryota; Metazoa; Mollusca; Bivalvia; Mytilida; Mytilidae.
AUAUGGUUGAAAUUUAUGUUAAAAGUCUGUUGGAUCAAAGUUUUACUUCAAGUAUCAUAUAAACUGAACACUAUCAACGAUCCAUGAAAAUCGUGUCAAGAGUUAGAUAAACCUUGCCAAACCAACAUUUGCAACUUGUAAUCCUUCCAUACAUCAAAUAAAGAUGACCUAUUGCUUAUAGUAUCUGAUAAAAGGACCUAACCACAAAAACUUAACCACGACUUAUAAAUCAUUAAAAUGAAGUCAAUCAGAUGAACAUAACCAGUCUAACAUGUAAACCUUACAAUAUAUCUGAACACUAAACAGAGCACACAUAUUGCAUGUAAUAUCUUAGAAAGAGACAAACUUUGAUGACCUAAAGUUUACCAGUCAACAAAAUGAAAAUGAGGUCAAGGUCGUAUGAACUCUUAGUGAAUGAUGGUCUUGUACAUCAUUAAAUCAUUCUCUACACCAAAUAUAUAUUUCACCAAUUGUUUGUUAUAUCUGACAAACACCUAAUAUUGAAAACUACAAGUUGACAAAUGAAUAACGAAAAUAAGGUCACGGUCAGAUGAAGUAACGUGUGUCAGACAACAAGCCUUCAUCUACAUCAAAUAAAGUAGACCUAUGGCUUGUUAUAUUAAUAUUUUGAAAAUUAAUGCAUGCAUUUCUGACAGAGGGCCCUGGUCAUCUACUUACUGAAAUAAACAGCUUAUACAAAUAGUUCAUGUCCUCAUCACCAGCUGGAAUAGCAUCAAUCUACUACAGAAAUAGCAAGCAAGACAAAAAUUGAAAUAAAACACAUUUUAUAUUGGUUUUUACUUUAUUUUUUGCAUUAGAAACAUAAAUAUUUUUGAAAUAAGAUUUAAUUACAUUUACAACAAUUCAUUCAGAGAGUUAUCCGCCCAUACUCCAACACAUAUCAAUUAAAUAAUGCAGUAUCCACACACAUUCUGAGAUACAAAUGUUCAAUCACUAGCACACAAUAAAAUGGAAUGAUUUAAAAGUAAAGGCUAAUUCCUAGUCAUUUGAGUGCUUCAUUUGAUUGUAUCAUUAUCACACUAACAAAAAACUCCAAAGAUCAUGACAAUAUAGUUCCAUUGAAAAUUUUAUACUUGAUUUCAUAAAAGUUGCUAUUUUCCAAAUCAUAUCCAUGCAAUAAUAAUUCUGGAAAAGAAGAGGGGCAUUUUAGAGUCCGAGAGUCUAAAAAUUAAGCUGAAAUUUAAAAUGCACAUAGAGAGGAUCAUUAAAAAGCUUAAAAUGUAAUACUAAAACACUGAAAUAACGGCUCACAAAUAAAUAAUGAAAAUUGUUUAUUUUAUAGAUACCCCGACUUCUAGGUAGCAUCUAAAUCAGAGAUGUGUUUAAAGUUUCUUGACAAUAUUUCUGCAUAGUUUAAUGGAUAAAAGUCAUUCUAAUUAAAUCAAUAAACCGAUGUUCCCCAUUUUUUGUUGUUAAAUAUUCAAUAUUUUAUACAGAUAUUCUCAACAUGUAAAUUUUCUUUCUUAUUUUUUGGGCUUUGGUACUUGUUAAAUUUUCAGAUUUAUGUGGUUGAAAUGGGAUCACUGUCUAUUUAUGCAUUUCAGAUAUUACACAAGGGAAUUUAUCAUGUAUAUUUUUUUGGAGUUUUUGCUUUGCAUGAUUCAUUUAUUAUCUCCCCUUUAAAAAGACUCUAAUCCCAAACUUAAAAGGGCAUGUAAUCAAUUAUCUUUGUGGUAGUUUUAACCACUAGAAGAGCUUUACUUAUAUCAGCAAUAAUGAUUUUGAAAGAGUAUAAUUUCCCACUUUAAACAUUGAUAUGAUAAGAAUUGCAUUGACUAUGGGUUACUCAAAAAAUUUAGACAAAUGAAUAUGAUUUGGAAUAUAUCUCCAUAUAAUUACCAAUUCUAUACCUUAAUUUAAUGCACUCUAUAUAAAUAAAUUUGUGUAGCACUUCAGUCAUAUAUAAUGAAAAUAUAGAUAAUAAAAAUGUAUAUCACAUAUAUAGUAAUGAAAUACCACAGUUGUCAAACUAACUUGUGUUGAAGGUACUGACCAGAUACUGACCAUUCACAUGAUAUAAUAUAGAAACAUUACUAAUGACUUCACAGAUUCAACUGAAUUAUUCAGAUUUAAUAACUUAAUGAAUGAAAAACUUAGCAAAAGCAGAAAAUCAAAGAGUCAGGAAUAAUACUUUUUAUCUAACAAUACACAUCUCUUGUCAAAUGUUUUAACUUUAAAGUGCUCUGUAAAGAAUCUGAAAGCCAAAGCAUUUCACAAAGGCAUGAGAUUAUUAUUCACAUCAGAAUUUAAUAUAACAGCUGAAUAGUCUUCCUUUACCAUUAUCAAAUUCAAAAUGGCUUUUUAUUUUUCCCAGAACAGGACAAAGGAAAUAAGAAUAAGACACCAUAUCCGGCUCAUACUCAUAUUAUAUGUCCAAGGAACUGCAAAAUCUUAGACAAAACCUUAAAUUGUCAUACAUUUUAACCCUUUCCUCCAUUGACAUUUUUUUUGCCUCAGUUGCUUCACAUAGUAUUUUCAAUAAAAGGC